ACGAACGCUGGCGGCGUGCUUAACACAUGCAAGUCGAACGGAAAGGCCCUGCUUUUGUGUGGUGCUCGAGUGGCGAACGGGUGAGUAACACGUGAGUAACCUCCCCUUGACUUUGGGAUAACUUCAUGAAACUGGGGCUAAUACCGGCUAGGAGCUCCUGCUGCCUGGUGGGGGUUGGAAAGUUUCGGCGGUUGGGGAUGGACUCUCGGCUUAUCAGCUUGUUGGUGGGGUAGUGGCUUACCAAGGCUUUGACGGGUAGCCGGCCUGAGAGGGUGACCGGCCACAUUGGGACUGAGAUACGGACCAGACUCCUACGGGAGGCAGCAGUGGGGAAUAUGGCACAAUGGGCGGAAGCCUGAUGCAGCAACGCCGCGUGCGGGAUGACGGCCUUCGGGUUGUAAACCGCUUUCGCCUGUGACGAAGAGUGAGUGACGGUAAUGGGUAAAGAAGCACCGGCUAACUACGUG
Molecule: ribosomal RNA, 467 nt
Filed under: uncultured bacterium
Lineage: Bacteria
Description: partial 16S ribosomal RNA
Rfam family: Bacterial small subunit ribosomal RNA
Source: RNAcentral